GACGAACGCUGGCGGCGUGCUUAACACAUGCAAGUCGAACGGAAAGGCCCUGCUUUUGUGGGGUGCUCGAGUGGCGAACGGGUGAGUAACACGUGAGUAACCUGCCCUUGACUUUGGGAAAACUUCAGGAAACUGGGGCUAAUACCGGAUAGGAGCUCCUGCUGCAUGGUGGGGGUUGGAAAGUUUCGGCGGUUGGGGAUGGACUCGCGGCUUAUCAGCUUGUUGGUGGGGUAGUGGCUUACCAAGGCUUUGACGGGUAGCCGGCCUGAGAGGGUGACCGGCCACAUUGGGACUGAGAUACGGCCCAGACUCCUACGGGAGGCAGCAGUGGGGAAUAUUGCACAAUGGGCGGAAGCCUGAUGCAGCAACGCCGCGUGCGGGAUGACGGCCUUCGGGUUGUAAACCGCUUUCGCCUGUGACGAAGCGUGAGUGACGGUAAUGGGUAAAGAAGCACCGGCUAACUACGUGCCAGCAGCCGCGGUGAUACGUAGGGUGCGAGCGUUGUCCGGAUUUAUUGGGCGUAAAGGGCUCGUAGGUGGUUGAUCGCGUCGGAAGUGUAAUCUUGGGGCUUAACCCUGAGCGUGCUUUCGAUACGGGUUGACUUGAGGAAGGUAGGGGAGAAUGGAAUUCCUGGUGGAGCGGUGGAAUGCGCAGAUAUCAGGAGGAACACCAGUGGCGAAGGCGGUUCUCUGGGCCUUUCCUGACGCUGAGGAGCGAAAGCGUGGGGAGCGAACAGGCUUAGAUACCCUGGUAGUCCACGCUGUAAACGGUGGGUACUAGGUGUGGGGUCCAUUCCACGGGUUCCGUGCCGUAGCUAACGCUUUAAGUACCCCGCCUGGGGAGUACGGCCGCAAGGCUAAAACUCAAAGGAAUUGACGGGGCCCCGCACAAGCGGCGGAGCAUGCGGAUUAAUUCGAUGCAACGCGUAGAACCUUACCUGGGUUUGACAUGGAUCGGGAGUGCUCAGAGAUGGGUGUGCCUCUUUUGGGGUCGGUUCACAGGUGGUGCAUGGCUGUCGUCAGCUCGUGCCGUGAGAUGUUGGGUUAAGUCCCGCAACGAGCGCAACCCUUGUUCACUGUUGCCAGCACGUUAUGGUGGGGACUCAGUGGAGACCGCCGGGGUCAACUCGGAGGAAGGUGGGGAUGACGUCAAGUCAUCAUGCCCCUUAUGUCCAGGGCUUCACGCAUGCUACAAUGGCUGGUACAGAGAGUGGCGAGCCUGUGAGGGUGAGCGAAUCUCGGAAAGCCGGUCUCAGUUCGGAUUGGGGUCUGCAACUCGACCUCAUGAAGUCGGAGUCGCUAGUAAUCGCAGAUCAGCAACGCUGCGGUGAAUACGUUCCCGGG
This 1343-nucleotide ribosomal RNA is filed under the name uncultured bacterium. RNAcentral's name for it is "16S ribosomal RNA". It matches the Rfam family "Bacterial small subunit ribosomal RNA", at positions 28 to 1378 of the family's 1533-position model. The record is from RNAcentral.